This is a long non-coding RNA of Oncorhynchus gorbuscha (pink salmon), 923 nucleotides long. RefSeq lists it as uncharacterized. The record is from RefSeq and is a predicted model, not a curated record. NCBI's taxonomy places the organism in Eukaryota, Metazoa, Chordata, Actinopteri, Salmoniformes, Salmonidae. The transcript is spliced from 2 exons.
ACACACACACACACACACACACACACACACACACACACACACACACACACACACACACACACACACACACACACACACACACACACACACACGAGCGAGCUACCUCAGCUCUCGCCGGCACAGCCUGCAUCCCUACCUGGCGGCGCGUCGAGGGGAACUAACUAACCGGCUGAGGGAGAACCGCAGCUGAAAGGGAGCGUUUUGGGACACCCUGGGAGAGAGAUGUUUUCCUUAGCUGCUCCAGCAGACAGGAAUCUACGAGCAGAGAAGAAAGCCUCGGUCUCCCCCAGGAGAACAGUACAAAGCCCAGUCUGCACACAGCAGAUGCAAAAGCAAGUCCAUCUGCUACCAGCUCACAACGCCACAUGGACUUGUGAGAUUCAAUCCUAGGCGUCGUCUGGCUGGCUGUGUUUGUGUAGACGCCACGGAAACAAGAGGAGGAGCGGCUGAUGUGGAGGAAAGGGUCGAUACAACUCACACAGGCUCCCCCAGACCUGAAACACACGUGUCCCCACAAGUGUGUGUGCUCGUGUGUGCUAGUGUGUGUGUGUGUGUGUGUGUGUGCACGCGCACAGGCGUAAGUGACUGUGUUUUGAAGUCUGCCGAAUGAAUGUGUACUCAUGAAAUUCAACAAACUAUUCUUACAGCAUAAACAAAGAUAAACAGACACAACUUCACUGACAGUGAGAGUACGCGGAGCAGGAACUUUCAUGCUCACGGAGAUGCACCCAAGGCAGGCAUGACAGAUUUAUUUAGUAAAAGAUCUAGCCUCUAACUCGGGGUAUAAGACCACUUGAACUCACAGCUCAGAGCGGUGUGUUGGCAUGAGUUCACAGGCCCCGAAUAGCACAUUAUAUACCAACCAGCAGAUUUGAGCUGUCUGAUAUCCUUAUUAAAUAAAAAGCAACAGCGAAAGCCAAAAA